AAUAGAUACCCAGGUAGUCUUGGCCAUAAACGAUGAUCACUAGGUGUUGGGGCUUUGCCUCGGUGCCGCAGCUAACGCAUUAAGUGAUCCGCCUGGGAACUACGAGCGCAAGCUUAAAACUCAAAGGAAUUGGCGGGGGCCCGCACAAGCGGUGGAGCAUAUGGCUUAAUUCGAUGCAACGCGAAGAACCUUACCAGGGCUUGACAUGUAUCUGCAAGCACCCGAAACGGUGUCGCCUUCGAGGGUGAUACACAGGUGGUGCAUGGCUGUCGUCAGCUCGUGUUGUGAAUGUUGGGUUAAGUCCCGCAACGAGCGCAACCCUCAUGUUCUGUUACCAGCGAGUAAAGUCGGGGACUCGGAACAAACUGCCUCUGUAAAGAGGAGGAAGGUGGGGAUGACGUCAAGUCAUCAUGCCCCUUACGCCCUGGGCUGCACAUAUGCUACAAUGGCCGGUACAAAGAGCUGCCAACCCGCGAGGUGCGCAAAUCUCAAAAAGCCGGUCUCAGUUCGGAUUGG
Molecule: ribosomal RNA, 516 nt
Filed under: uncultured bacterium
Lineage: Bacteria
Description: bacterial SSU rRNA
Rfam family: Bacterial small subunit ribosomal RNA
Source: RNAcentral